AUUGAACGCUGGCGGCAUGCCUUACACAUGCAAGUCGAACGGCAGCACGGGAGCAAUCCUGGUGGCGAGUGGCGAACGGGUGAGUAAUAUAUCGGAACGUGCCCGGUCGUGGGGGAUAACGUAGCGAAAGCUACGCUAAUACCGCAUACGAUCUACGGAUGAAAGCGGGGGAUCGCAAGACCUCGCGCGAUUGGAGCGGCCGAUAUCAGAUUAGGUAGUUGGUGAGGUAAAGGCUCACCAAGCUGACGAUCUGUAGCUGGUCUGAGAGGACGACCAGCCACACUGGGACUGAGACACGGCCCAGACUCCUACGGGAGGCAGCAGUGGGGAAUAUUGGACAAUGGGCGAAAGCCUGAUCCAGCCAUGCCGCGUGUGUGAAGAAGGUCUUCGGAUUGUAAAGCACUUUAAGUUGGGUAGGAAGGGUAGUAACC
This 431-nucleotide ribosomal RNA is filed under the name uncultured bacterium. RNAcentral describes it as "bacterial SSU rRNA". It matches the Rfam family "Bacterial small subunit ribosomal RNA", at positions 30 to 461 of the family's 1533-position model. The record is from RNAcentral.